AAUAGAUACCCUGGUAGUCCACGCCGUAAACGAUGAGUGCUAAGUGUUAGGGGGGUUUCCGCCCCUUAGUGCUGCAGCUAACGCAUUAAGCACUCCGCCUGGGGAGUACGGUCGCAAGACUGAAAACUCAAAAGGAAUUGACGGGGGCCCGCGACAAGCGGUGGAGCAUGUGGUUUAAUUCGAAGCAACGCGAAGAACCUUACCAGGUCUUGACAUCCCGCUGACCGCUAUGGAGACAUAGUUUUCCCUUCUGGGACAGCGGUGACAGGUGGUGCAUGGUUGUCGUCAGCUCGUGUCGUGAGAUGUUGGGUUAAGUCCCGCAACGAGCGCAACCCUUGUUCUUAGUUGCCAUCAUUAACGUUGGGCACUCUAAGGAGACUGCCGGUGAUAAACCGGGAGGAAGGUGGGGAUGACGUCAAAUCAUCAUGCCCCUUAUGACCUGGGCUACACACGUGCUACAAUGGACGGUACAAACGGUUGCGAAGUCGCGAGACGGAGCCAAUCCGAGAAAACCGUUCUCAGUUCGGAUUGUAGG
RNAcentral lists this ribosomal RNA (535 nucleotides) under uncultured bacterium. RNAcentral describes it as "bacterial SSU rRNA". It matches the Rfam family "Bacterial small subunit ribosomal RNA", at positions 777 to 1304 of the family's 1533-position model. The record is from RNAcentral.